GAUGAACGCUGGCGGCGUGCCUAAUACAUGCAAGUCGAGCGAACGGACGAGAAGCUUGUUUCUCUGCGGUUAGCGGCGGACGGGCGAGUAACACGUGGAUAACCUACCUAUAAGACUGGGAUAACUUCGGGAAACCGCAGCUAAUACCGGAUAAUACUUUGAACCGCAUGGUUCAAAAGUGAUAGACGGUCUUGCCGUCUCUUUUAGCUGGAUCCGCGCUGCAUUAGCUAGUUGGUAAGGUAACGGCUUACCAAGGCGACGAUGCAUAGCCGACCUGAGAGGGUGAUCGGCCACACUGGAACUGAGACACGGUCCAGACUCCUACGGGAGGCAGCAGUAGGGAAUCUUCCGCAAUGGGCGAAAGCCUGACGGAGCAACGCCGCGUGAGUGAUGAAGGUCUUCGGAUCGUAAAACUCUGUUAUUAGGGAAGAACAUAUGUGUAAUUAACUGUGCACAUCUUGACGGUACCUAAUCAGAAAGCCACGGCUAACUACGUG
This 497-nucleotide ribosomal RNA is filed under the name uncultured bacterium. RNAcentral's name for it is "partial 16S ribosomal RNA". It matches the Rfam family "Bacterial small subunit ribosomal RNA", at positions 28 to 507 of the family's 1533-position model. The record is from RNAcentral.